GUGCAUACGCGAUCACUAACUCUGCAUAAUGUUGCAGAAGUGAGGGGAACCAGGUUUGCUAAAGUAAUCGUGGUGAUAGAAAUGUUAUGAGCCUCAGAAGUUACUGAGCUGCUCCAUUCUAUCCGAGUACAGUG
Small nucleolar RNA from Myotis lucifugus (little brown bat), 134 nucleotides. NCBI's taxonomy places the organism in Eukaryota, Metazoa, Chordata, Mammalia, Chiroptera, Vespertilionidae. The record is from Ensembl.